This 565-nucleotide long non-coding RNA is filed under the name Monodelphis domestica (gray short-tailed opossum). RNAcentral describes it as "lncRNA (ENSMODG00000044392.1)". Lineage: Eukaryota; Metazoa; Chordata; Mammalia; Didelphimorphia; Didelphidae. The record is from RNAcentral.
CCUUCCUUCUUUCUAAUUUUUUCUCUCCCUCUCUCCUUUCCCUCUUUCCCUCCCUCCCUCCCUCCCUCCCUCCCUCCCUUCCUUCCUUCCUUCCUUCCUUCCUUCCUUCCUUCCUUCCUUCCUUCCUUCCUUCCUUCCUUCCUUCCUUCCUUCCUUUCUUUCUUUCUUUCUUUCUUUCUUCCCUUUCUUUCUUUCUUUCUUUCUUUCUUUCUUUCUUUCUUUCUUUCUUUCUUUCUUUUCUUUCUUUCUUUCUUCCUUUCCUUUCUUUCUUUCUUUCUUUCUUUCUUUCUUCCUUCCUUUCCUUUCUUUCUUCCUCCCUUCCCUUCCUUUCUUUCUUUUCUUCCUUCCUUUCCUUCCUUCCUUCCUUUUGAUUUUGUUUUAUAGUGUUUUAUCAAAGAAAUUUGUUAUAAAUUUUUUCUAUAGUUUUUGUUUCCGUUUAAAUCUUGGUUACAUUGGUUUUGUUUGUACCAAACUUUUUAAAUUUAAUAUAGUCAGAAUUAUUCAUUUUACAUCUCAUAAUAUUCUCUAUCUUUUAUAUGGUCAUACAUUUUCCCCUUCUCAAUAG